This 641-nucleotide small RNA is filed under the name Pan troglodytes (chimpanzee). RNAcentral describes it as "retained intron". Lineage: Eukaryota; Metazoa; Chordata; Mammalia; Primates; Hominidae. The record is from RNAcentral.
CUCAGCCUUCCGAGUAGCUGGGAUUACAGGCGCCUGCCACUACGCCCAGCAAAUUUUUUGUAUUUUUAGUAGAGACAGGGUUUCACCAUGUUGGCCAGGCUGGUCUCAAACUCCUGACCUCAUGAUUUGCCUGCCUUGGUCUCCCAAAGUGCUGGGAUUACAGGCGUGAGCCACCACGCCCGGCCAUAAUCUGUUCAAGUUUCUUAGUUGUAGUUGCCUCCAUUUCUUUAUAAAAUGAAGCCAUUCAACAUUUUAAGUAUAAGGUUUAGUGCAAUAUAAGGUUUAGAGAUAGGGCAAGUUCUUAGGUUAAAAGUUAAUGUUCAAAUAUAACAUCUAUUUUUUCUUUCCUGCAGCAAACCAAGAGGAAGCUAGAUGAUGCCAGCAAACGUUUGGAGUUUCUGUAUGAUAAACUUAGGGAACAGACACUUUCACCAACAAUCACCAGUGGUUUACACAACAUUGCAAGGAGCAUUGAAACUCGAAACUACUCAGAAGGAUUGACCAUGCAUACCCACAUAGUUAGCACCAGCAACUUCAGUGAGACCUCUGCUUUCAUGCCAGUUCUCAAAGUUGUUCUCACCCAGGCCAAUAAGCUGGGUGUCUAAAAGGACAGCUUCUCUUCCACUCAAUAUUGCCAUUUU